RNAcentral lists this transfer RNA (75 nucleotides) under Candidatus Aminicenantes bacterium ADurb.Bin147. RNAcentral's name for it is "tRNA-Arg". It matches the Rfam family "tRNA". From Rfam's summary of the family: Transfer RNA (tRNA) molecules are approximately 80 nucleotides in length. Their secondary structure includes four short double-helical elements and three loops (D, anti-codon, and T loops). Further hydrogen bonds mediate the characteristic L-shaped molecular structure. tRNAs have two regions of fundamental functional importance: the anti-codon, which is responsible for specific mRNA codon recognition, and the 3' end, to which the tRNAs corresponding amino acid is attached (by aminoacyl-tRNA synthetases). tRNAs cope with the degeneracy of the genetic code in two manners: having more than one tRNA (with a specific anti-codon) for a particular amino acid; and 'wobble' base-pairing, i.e. permitting non-standard base-pairing at the 3rd anti-codon position. Lineage: Bacteria; Candidatus Aminicenantota. The record is from RNAcentral.
GCGCCUGUAGCUCAGGUGGAUAGAGCAGCUGCCUUCUAAGCAGCGGGUCGGGAGUUCGAGUCUCUCCAGGCGCGC